AAGAUUUCCUUCUGGUUUUGUCGCUGCGCUGCCUUCGUCUCCCGAGUCGGCCAAUGGGAGUGGUCUACAUGGCGGUGGGCGUGGUUUAUGCAAAUAGAGCUAUUAGGACAUGGUUUUCUGCAGCGGCGGGCGCCAGGUUGUAAAUGAGCAAGGAGGAAGGGUGUUAAUUUCAAAGAUUGCAUGCCCAUGCAAUCUUGGCAGAGGAUUAUUGUCAAUACUAUUGCAGAAUAAGUGGCUGUUUGCACGCAUGCAGUCAGACUCUGUUUGGGAAACCCUGGGCGGAUUCACACAGCACACGUCAUAUCAAACUUGUAUAAUCUAUAUUUGUCGGUCAGUCAAGUCUUUUUAAGGCCACCCUACGGAACAUAAAAAGCACUCCGAGAUCUCCCUCUGAUCCAGCCACGUAUCUUUCCUCCAGUCACCCACAAGCAGAACAUCAGGAAAAAGUUGCUGUUUUGCAGCAUUUUUCUUUGUCCACAGGAUGGCAGGCGGAUCCCUGAACAUGAAAGAAUGGAAAGCAGGGAAGGAUUUAGAGAAAUUCUCACCCAUUUGGCAGGCUGCAGGAUGCUCCAACUGUUUGAUGGGAUGAAGCUGGGCACGAGUAUAGGAGCAGAUGUGAACCCUGGGUAUUGUUAGAGACCUGCUAGGGUGGGGUGGGGGUUAAUUGGUCCACUCCUGACUGUUCCCAGGGUCUCCAGGGUUUGUUUGGCAUGCUGUAACUUUGUUGCUUGUAUCCUUACGAUUUAUAUUGAUACUGAUUGUUUCCUGAUUGCUUAUUUGUACCCGAUGACUAUCAUUAAACGUUGUAUCAUUAAGUGUUAAAUUUGUACCCUAUGACUACCAUUAAGUGUUGUAAGUGUUGUACCUUGAUGAAGGUAUCUUUCCUUUUAUGUACA
Molecule: long non-coding RNA, 896 nt
Organism: Ahaetulla prasina
Lineage: Eukaryota; Metazoa; Chordata; Lepidosauria; Squamata; Colubridae
Exons: 3
Source: RefSeq, a predicted model, not a curated record